UAAAGAAUUUCGGUAUGGGAUGGGGAUGCGUUCCAUUAGUUAGUUGGCGGGGUAACGGCCCACCAAGACAACGAUGGAUAGGGGUUCUGAGAGGAAGGUCCCCCACAUUGGAACUGAGACACGGUCCAAACUCCUACGGGAGGCAGCAGUGAGGAAUAUUGGUCAAUGGACGAGAGUCUGAACCAGCCAAGUAGCGUGAAGGAUGACUGCCCUAUGGGUUGUAAACUUCUUUUAUAUGGGAAUAAAACGUUCCACGUGUGGGAUUUUGUAUGUACCAUAUGAAUAAGGAUCGGCUAACUCCGUGCCAGCAGCCGCGGUAAUACGGAGGAUCCGAGCGUUAUCCGGAUUUAUUGGGUUUAAAGGGAGCGUAGGUGGAUUGUUAAGUCAGUUGUGAAAGUUUGCGGCUCAACCGUAAAAUUGCAGUUGAAACUGGCAGUCUUGAGUACAGUAGAGGUGGGCGGAAUUCGUGGUGUAGCGGUGAAAUGCUUAGAUAUCACGAAGAACUCCGAUUGCGAAGGCAGCUCACUGGACUGCAACUGACACUGAGGCUCGAAAGUGUGGGUAUCAAACAGGAUUAGAUACCCUGGUAGUCCACACAGUAAACGAUGAAUACUCGCUGUUUGCGAUAUACGGCAA
This 636-nucleotide ribosomal RNA is filed under the name uncultured bacterium. Its description in RNAcentral is "bacterial SSU rRNA". It matches the Rfam family "Bacterial small subunit ribosomal RNA", at positions 202 to 842 of the family's 1533-position model. The record is from RNAcentral.